CUCAUUUUUUUAUGAGACUUAAAAAAUAAUUUUAAUGUAAGGUGACUGUUUAAGGCUUCCUUAGCUCACAUGUAUUUUCAUUGUGACCUUCAUGGGAGGUGACUCUAUUUCCUUUUUUUUUCCCCCUCUUACCCAGAAAAACAUUUUCUGUUGACUGUAAUUAUUGUGACCAUGUCACCUUCAUGCAUCCAAAACAAAAGUUCUGAGCACCCAGAACAAAACACCAAAACAAAAGCCUGAGCUGAUGUGAAGUGGGAAGCUUCUUGGAGCCUUUGUUCCUGAUGUCUGUCUUCUGUCUGUAGUUCUGCAUAUGUGUUCUCAGUGUUAGUGUCAAGGUUUGCUGUCCUUUGCAUUACAGUGCUGCGGACUCUUGUGGUUUUCCUAAGACAAUAGUGUACUUGAUUUUGUAUUCGGAGAGAGCUCUCGUACAGCGGACCCUUAGAGAAUGUGGUUGUUCAUCUCAUCAGGCAUAUUUAAGGGAAGAUGGCAAAACCAGUGCAGAAGGACAGACAGACAAACUGACCCAUUCCUUAGUAUGACCAUUUAUUUAAAAGCAAUAAUUCAGAUUUCAUAUGAGCUAAUAACUAGGCUUUUAAUAGUUGAUUUAUCUUCAAAUUAAUAUAAUUUUGAUAAUGUUUGUUCUUUCUGAACAUCUUUGGGCAGUCUUCAGUUUUGUGUGUUAACUUUUUUAAAAAGUACGGUAAAAAUUGUUGUUUUUCAAACAUUUUUGUAAAACUGAACUUUCUGUAACUUCAGAGGUUUUCCAGUUCCUUUCCAUUGUUUUUGAAGGAAAGUAUCUUUUGAGUUUCAUUAAAUGUACUACUUAUAUUCUGGAUAAUUCCAUAUUUGAUCUUGUCUAGCUUGCACAAGGAUUCUUCCUGUCAGUCUAUUCAUAGAGAAAGAGAUCAUAUUUAUGUGAUACAUUGAAGUAAAUACAGGGGACUUGGGGAACAGCUUACAUGAGCUUUAGUGAAAAAUCAUGAUAUGUUUUCUUUAUUAUUAUAAGAUUCUAAGACAAAGUACCAAAUAAGAGGAAAAAAUAUACUGAAUUUGUAUAAAACAUCCAAAUAAAAGGUUAAAAAUAUGUUAAUGAUGAACUUGAGUGUGCUUUCAUGACUGUGUAUGUAAUACAUAUUUUUUCAAUGACCUUUUGAUUCUUGCAAUUCCACCCUUGGUUUCUGGUAAAAUCCCUUUAGAAUUUCUUUCUACUUGCCAAUAAAGAGAAACUCACAAGGUGGCAGCACCUGGGAGAAGAAAAUCUCUUGUCCCCCUCCAAAUGUUCCACCAUUCCCUCACAGUGUGAUAACAAGAUUUCUUUACUGGAUGUUGAGAAAGCGAUCAAUCUUUCUUUAACAAAUGUCAAGACUUUUUUAAAAAAUAAUAAAGUGAGUGAAUCUUCUCGUCCUG
RNAcentral lists this long non-coding RNA (1407 nucleotides) under Rattus norvegicus (Norway rat). RNAcentral's name for it is "long non-coding RNA NONRATT030208". Lineage: Eukaryota; Metazoa; Chordata; Mammalia; Rodentia; Muridae. The record is from RNAcentral.